AGUGAACGCUGGCGGUAGGCCUAACACAUGCAAGUCGAACGGCAGCACAGUAAGAGCUUGCUCUUACGGGUGGCGAGUGGCGGACGGGUGAGGAAUACAUCGGAAUCUACUUUUUCGUGGGGGAUAACGUAGGGAAACUUACGCUAAUACCGCAUACGACCUACGGGUGAAAGCAGGGGAUCUUCGGACCUUGCGCGAUUGAAUGAGCCGAUGUCGGAUUAGCUAGUUGGCGGGGUAAAGGCCCACCAAGGCGACGAUCCGUAGCUGGUCUGAGAGGAUGAGCAGCCACACUGGAACUGAGACACGGUCCAGACUCCUACGGGAGGCAGCAGUGGGGAAUAUUGGACAAUGGGCGCAAGCCUGAUCCAGCCACACCGCGUGGGUGAAGAAGGCCUUCGGGUUGUAAAGCCCUUUUGUUGGGAAAGAAAAGCAGCAGGUUAAUACCCCGCUGUUCUGACGGUACCCAAAGAAUAAGCACCGGCUAACUUCGUG
RNAcentral lists this ribosomal RNA (492 nucleotides) under uncultured bacterium. Its description in RNAcentral is "partial 16S ribosomal RNA". It matches the Rfam family "Bacterial small subunit ribosomal RNA", at positions 29 to 507 of the family's 1533-position model. The record is from RNAcentral.